This 76-nucleotide transfer RNA is filed under the name Betaproteobacteria bacterium. RNAcentral describes it as "tRNA-Val". It matches the Rfam family "tRNA". Rfam says of the family: Transfer RNA (tRNA) molecules are approximately 80 nucleotides in length. Their secondary structure includes four short double-helical elements and three loops (D, anti-codon, and T loops). Lineage: Bacteria; Pseudomonadati; Pseudomonadota; Betaproteobacteria. RNAcentral also lists the same sequence under 3 other names. The record is from RNAcentral.
GGGCGGUUAGCUCAGCUGGUAGAGCGUCUGCUUUACACGCAGAAGGUCGGAGGUUCGAGACCUUCACCGCCCACCA